Molecule: ribosomal RNA, 1538 nt
Filed under: Pectobacterium carotovorum subsp. carotovorum
Lineage: Bacteria; Pseudomonadati; Pseudomonadota; Gammaproteobacteria; Enterobacterales; Pectobacteriaceae
Also listed under: 1 other name
Description: bacterial SSU rRNA
Rfam family: Bacterial small subunit ribosomal RNA
Source: RNAcentral
UUGAAGAGUUUGAUCAUGGCUCAGAUUGAACGCUGGCGGCAGGCCUAACACAUGCAAGUCGAGCGGUAGCACAGGAGAGCUUGCUCUCUGGGUGACGAGCGGCGGACGGGUGAGUAAUGUCUGGGAAACUGCCUGAUGGAGGGGGAUAACUACUGGAAACGGUAGCUAAUACCGCAUAACCUCGCAAGAGCAAAGAGGGGGACCUUCGGGCCUCUCGCCAUCAGAUGUGCCCAGAUGGGAUUAGCUAGUAGGUGAGGUAAUGGCUCACCUAGGCGACGAUCCCUAGCUGGUCUGAGAGGAUGACCAGCCACACUGGAACUGAGACACGGUCCAGACUCCUACGGGAGGCAGCAGUGGGGAAUAUUGCACAAUGGGCGCAAGCCUGAUGCAGCCAUGCCGCGUGUGUGAAGAAGGCCUUCGGGUUGUAAAGCACUUUCAGCGGGGAGGAAGGCGGUAAGGUUAAUAACCUUAUCGAUUGACGUUACCCGCAGAAGAAGCACCGGCUAACUCCGUGCCAGCAGCCGCGGUAAUACGGAGGGUGCAAGCGUUAAUCGGAAUGACUGGGCGUAAAGCGCACGCAGGCGGUCUGUUAAGUUGGAUGUGAAAUCCCCGGGCUUAACCUGGGAACUGCAUUCAAAACUGACAGGCUAGAGUCUUGUAGAGGGGGGUAGAAUUCCAGGUGUAGCGGUGAAAUGCGUAGAGAUCUGGAGGAAUACCGGUGGCGAAGGCGGCCCCCUGGACAAAGACUGACGCUCAGGUGCGAAAGCGUGGGGAGCAAACAGGAUUAGAUACCCUGGUAGUCCACGCUGUAAACGAUGUCGACUUGGAGGUUGUGCCCUUGAGGCGUGGCUUCCGGAGCUAACGCGUUAAGUCGACCGCCUGGGGAGUACGGCCGCAAGGUUAAAACUCAAAUGAAUUGACGGGGGCCCGCACAAGCGGUGGAGCAUGUGGUUUAAUUCGAUGCAACGCGAAGAACCUUACCUACUCUUGACAUCCAGAGAAUUUGCUAGAGAUAGCUUAGUGCCUUCGGGAACUCUGAGACAGGUGCUGCAUGGCUGUCGUCAGCUCGUGUUGUGAAAUGUUGGGUUAAGUCCCGCAACGAGCGCAACCCUUAUCCUUUGUUGCCAGCGAUUCGGUCGGGAACUCAAAGGAGACUGCCGGUGAUAAACCGGAGGAAGGUGGGGAUGACGUCAAGUCAUCAUGGCCCUUACGAGUAGGGCUACACACGUGCUACAAUGGCGUAUACAAAGAGAAGCGACCUCGCGAGAGUAAGCGGACCUCAUAAAGUACGUCGUAGUCCGGAUUGGAGUCUGCAACUCGACUCCAUGAAGUCGGAAUCGCUAGUAAUCGUAGAUCAGAAUGCUACGGUGAAUACGUUCCCGGGCCUUGUACACACCGCCCGUCACACCAUGGGAGUGGGUUGCAAAAGAAGUAGGUAGCUUAACCUUCGGGAGGGCGCUUACCACUUUGUGAUUCAUGACUGGGGUGAAGUCGUAACAAGGUAACCGUAGGGGAACCUGCGGUUGGAUCACCUCCUU